Molecule: ribosomal RNA, 393 nt
Filed under: uncultured bacterium
Lineage: Bacteria
Description: partial 16S ribosomal RNA
Rfam family: Bacterial small subunit ribosomal RNA
Source: RNAcentral
AUACGUAGGUGGCAAGCGUUGUCCGGAUUUACUGGGUGUAAAGGGCGUGUAGGCGGAGAUGCAAGUCAGGAGUGAAAUCUAGGGGCUCAACCCCUAAACUGCUUUUGAAACUGUAUCCCUUGAGUAUCGGAGAGGCAGGCGGAAUUCCUAGUGUAGCGGUGAAAUGCGUAGAUAUGCCACAGAACGCCGAUAGCGGAGGCAGCUCGCCAGGCCUGCAUGUACGCUCGGGCACGAAAGCGUGGGGAUCGAACAGGAUUAGAUACCCUGGUAGUCCACGCCGUAAACGAUGGGCGCUCGUCGUCGGCGGCAGACAGUCGGCGGCCAAGCGAAAGCGAUAAGCGCCCCACCUGGGGAGUACGGUCGCAAGGCUGAAACUCAAAUGAAUUGACGGGG